RNAcentral lists this unclassified non-coding RNA (234 nucleotides) under plant metagenome. Its description in RNAcentral is "partial contains small subunit ribosomal RNA, internal transcribed spacer 1, and 5.8S ribosomal RNA". The record is from RNAcentral.
UUUCCGUAGGUGAACCUGCGGAAGGAUCAUUAAAGUUAUAGUCCCCCGGCCCUCUGGGCUGGGGUCUUCUAUACCACCCUUUGUUUAUUACACCUUUGUUGCUUUGGCAGGCCUGCCCUCGGGCUGCUGGCUCCGGCCGGCUCGUGCCUGCCAGAGGACCUAAACUCUGUUUGUAUAUGAAGUCUGAGUACUAUAUAAUAGUUAAAACUUUCAACAACGGAUCUCUUGGUUCUG